This 447-nucleotide ribosomal RNA is filed under the name uncultured bacterium. RNAcentral describes it as "bacterial SSU rRNA". It matches the Rfam family "Bacterial small subunit ribosomal RNA", at positions 355 to 825 of the family's 1533-position model. The record is from RNAcentral.
UCGGGAAUUUUGGGCAAUGGGCGAAAGCCUGACCCAGCAACGCCGCGUGAAGGAUGAAGUAUUUCGGUAUGUAAACUUCGUAAGAAUAGGAAGAAUAAAUGACGGUACUAUUUAGAAGCUGCGGCUAACUACGUGCCAGCAGCCGCGGUAAUACGUAGGCAGCAAACGUUGUUCGGAGUUACUGGGCGUAAAGAGUACGUAGGCGGUUUGCCAAGUUUGGUGUGAAAUCUCCUGGCUUAACUGGGAGGGUGCGCCGAAUACUGACAGACUUGAGUAUUGGAGAGGAAAGCGGAAUUCCUGGUGUAGCGGUGAAAUGCGUAGAUAUCAGGAGGAACACCGGUGGUGUAGACGGCUUUCUGGACAAUCACUGACGCUGAGGUACGAAAGCGUGGGUAGCAAACAGGAUUAGAUACCCCAGUAGUCCCUGAGCGGGCUGGCAAGGCGCAU